CAGUAGCCGCGGGAAUACGUAGGUGGCAAGCGUUGUCCGGAAUUAUUGGGCGUAAAGGGCUCGCAGGCGGUUUCUUAAGUCUGAUGUGAAAGCCCCCGGCUCAACCGGGGAGGGUCAUUGGAAACUGGGAAACUUGAGUGCAGAAGAGGAGAGUGGAAUUCCACGUGUAGCAGUGAAAUGCGUAGAGAUGUGGAGGAACACCAGUGGCGAAGGCGACUCUCUGGUCUGUAACUGACGCUGAGGAGCGAAAGCGUGGGGAGCGAACAGGAUUAGAUACCCCUGUAGUCCCUGUCUCUUAUAC
This 301-nucleotide ribosomal RNA is filed under the name uncultured bacterium. Its description in RNAcentral is "partial 16S ribosomal RNA". It matches the Rfam family "Bacterial small subunit ribosomal RNA", at positions 509 to 807 of the family's 1533-position model. The record is from RNAcentral.